GGGAGGCAGCAGUGGGGAAUCUUGGACAAUGGGGGGCAAACCCUGAUCCAGCCAUGCCGCGUGAGUGAUGAAGGCCCUAGGGUCGUAAAGCUCUUUCGCCUGUGAAGAUAAUGACGGUAGCAGGUAAAGAAACCCCGGCUAACUCCGUGCCAGCAGCCGCGGUAAUACGGAGGGGGUUAGCGUUGUUCGGAAUUACUGGGCGUAAAGCGCACGUAGGCGGAUCGGAAAGUUGGGGGUGAAAUCCCGGGGCUCAACCCCGGAACUGCCUCCAAAACUAUCGGUCUAGAGUUCGAGAGAGGUGAGUGGAAUUCCGAGUGUAGAGGUGAAAAUUCGUAGAUAUUCGGAGGAACACCAGUGGCGAAGGCGGCUCACUGGCUCGAUACUGACGCUGAGGUGCGAAAGUGUGGGGAGCAAACAGGAUUAGAUACCCUGGUAG
This 436-nucleotide ribosomal RNA is filed under the name uncultured bacterium. RNAcentral describes it as "bacterial SSU rRNA". It matches the Rfam family "Bacterial small subunit ribosomal RNA", at positions 343 to 793 of the family's 1533-position model. The record is from RNAcentral.